AUUGAACGCUGGCGGCAUGCCUUACACAUGCAAGUCGAACGGCAGCACGGGGGCAACCCUGGUGGCGAGUGGCGAACGGGUGAGUAAUGCAUCGGAACGUGCCCAGUAGUGGGGGGAUAGCCCGGCGAAAGCCGGAUUAAUACCGCAUACGUACUGAGGUAGAAAGCGGGGGACCGAAAGGCCUCGCGCUAUUGGAGCGGCCGAUGUCGGAUUAGCUUGUUGGUGGGGUAAUGGCCUACCAAGGCGACGAUCCGUAACUGGUCUGAGAGGACGACCAGUCACACUGGGACUGAGACACGGCCCAGACUCCUACGGGAGGCAGCAGUGGGGAAUUUUGGACAAUGGGCGAAAGCCUGAUCCAGCAAUGCCGCGUGUGUGAAGAAGGCC
This 387-nucleotide ribosomal RNA is filed under the name uncultured bacterium. RNAcentral describes it as "bacterial SSU rRNA". It matches the Rfam family "Bacterial small subunit ribosomal RNA", at positions 29 to 416 of the family's 1533-position model. The record is from RNAcentral.